RNAcentral lists this ribosomal RNA (520 nucleotides) under uncultured bacterium. Its description in RNAcentral is "partial 16S ribosomal RNA". It matches the Rfam family "Bacterial small subunit ribosomal RNA", at positions 29 to 523 of the family's 1533-position model. The record is from RNAcentral.
AACGAACGCUGGCGGCGUGCCUAACACGUGCAAGUCGAACGAGAAUUUCGGGGCAACUCGAAUAGUAAAGUGGCGCACGGGUGAGUAACACGUAGGUGACCUACCUCUUGCUGGGGAAUAACCUCGGGAAACCGAAGCUAAUUCCGCAUACGCCAACUAGAUUGCGGUCUAGUUGGGAAAGGUGGCCUCUUCAUGAAAGCUAUCGGCAAAAGAUGGGCCUGCGUACCAUUAGCUAGUUGGUAGGGUAAUGGCCUACCAAGGCUAUGAUGGUUAGCUGGUCUGAGAGGAUGAUCAGCCACACUGGAACUGAGACACGGUCCAGACUCCUACGGGAGGCAGCAGUGGGGAAUAUUGCGCAAUGGGCGAAAGCCUGACGCAGCAACGCCGCGUGAGUGAUGAAGGCCUUCGGGUCGUAAAGCUCUGUCAGAAGGAACGAAUACUCCUAUGGAGUAAUACCCAUGGGAUUUGACGGUACCUUCAGAGGAAGCACUGGCUAACUCCGUGCCAGCAGCCGCCGCAG